CGCCUCCACCACACCCCCCGAAGGCGUAGGAUGUGCAUCGUUCCACGAGCUGGCUCGGCAACGUUAAUAAUGUAUCUUUCCUGAUGCUGAGUCAAACUUAAGCUCUAAUUUUUCUGGGUGUCAGCUGACUGCAAAACAGUGCCACGUGUCCUCUAAGGAGCUCAGGCUGAGCCGGGGCUUUGGAGUUGUUGCUGCCGGUCCUACUGCAUGCCGAUGAGUAUAUUUAGUGUCUGUUUUCAAGAGGAAAUGUACGCACAGAAAACAGGAAGUUGCUGUGGUAAAAUGUGUUGCUGCUGCAUUAACCACACCAGCCACUGGAUGUCACCAUUGCGUUACCUCACUCUCUGAUGGAGGUUUCCAAUCAAAGAGAUGGAGGGCAAAGUUUUAUUCACAGAGUUAUUUCUUUAUACUUUUUAAAUUUUAUUUUCAUAUGUAUGAGUGUUUUGUUCACCUGCGUUUGCAUCAUGUGCAUGCCUGGAGUCCAGGGAGGUCAUAAGAGAACAUGAGAUCUCCUAGAGCUGGAGUUAGAGACUGUGAUAAGCCUGUGUAUGGGUGCUGGGAAUCAAACCCUGCUCUGCAAGAUCAAGCCUUCUUAACUGCUGAGCUACUUCCCGUCUCUUCACAGAUUCCUAAUGAAGAAGAUGCAGCAUUUUCCUGUCAGAUGUCCUAUUGAAAAACAGUUCUCCCUGUGUGUACUAUAUUUUCUUUCAUUUUUGAUAACUGGACAUUUUUCAAAGAGAGAAAACUGUAUCCAUUUUGCAAACUUAUCAUAGCUAUCAUUUUCAGAGUCUAAUGAUCAAAUUAAAACAUGACACCACAUGCAGUUCUUUUAGAGAAGUGGAGUUCUAUGUUCCCUCACAAAGUGUAGGAGCGUUGAAUAAGAACAUUAACAAAGUAGCAGCACUGUGCAUAGAAGAAAGCAUCAGCUGUAGAGAUGGCCUCUGUGAGGGAGCUUCAAGACCAAACAUCUCCAAGGCACACUGGAAGCACCUGGCAACCAUCUACAGCCUGGAAAAGCUCCUUUCCUUACCCUGUUUUUUGUUUUGUUUUGGGGUUUUGUUUUGUUGCUGUCCUUUUUAAGCUACAUUGGAAAGACAUUUUUUGAAGAACGUCAUAGUUGUACUUUAGCCCUCAAUCAUUCCAUUAGAAAAAGGACAUUCUAGCAAUUACAUAGAUGGUGAUAGUUUGAAGUACCCCUAAAUAUAAAUAGUUGCAUUAGUAGUCCCAAA
This is a long non-coding RNA of Grammomys surdaster, 1229 nucleotides long. RefSeq lists it as uncharacterized. The transcript is spliced from 2 exons. Lineage: Eukaryota; Metazoa; Chordata; Mammalia; Rodentia; Muridae. The record is from RefSeq and is a predicted model, not a curated record.